Long non-coding RNA from Lepidothrix coronata (blue-crowned manakin), 736 nucleotides. RefSeq lists it as uncharacterized. The transcript is spliced from 4 exons. NCBI's taxonomy places the organism in Eukaryota, Metazoa, Chordata, Aves, Passeriformes, Pipridae. The record is from RefSeq and is a predicted model, not a curated record.
UUACAUGUUUCAAUGAGAUCUAUAACCCCAGAGACAGAGAACAGCUCCUUAAUACAACAGCCUCCAAAGAGGCUUGAGCUCAAAUACCCCUGCAGAGAACAAGGCUUCCCAGUGUUAGAGACAAUAUUGGGGAGUUCUACCUCAUGCAACUGUACUUUUAAAGGAAAUCCAAGUUUGUGCCCACAAUAAUGUUCACUGGGGCCACAACCGGCGGCAGUUCCCUGCAGAGCCUGCAGUGAUGUGAGAACAGAGAGGAGCAGUGAGUGCCUGUUGGGAGUGCACUGGGCUCCUGGCAUCCUCAGCUGUUUUCCACCCACCCUUGAAAACCAUCUCUGGCCCAAAAUGGAACUGUGAGCUGUACCACAUGCUCCAAAUGAAGUGCUAAUUAAAUACUUCUACUUAAUGUAGACAACAUUUCUUUGAGAAGGCUGUAAUGUAUCGCAGAUGUGGCGAAUCCCUUGGAGAGCAGAGAAGGAGCAAUGUGCACGUUGGAUCCCUCUGUGAGUGACCUUGGUAGCGGGAAUACUGCAGGUGCUUCCAUAUGGAUGCACACUCUGACACAUGGGACAUAAAUGGUGGAGCUGUGGAGCUUGAUGGGUACUUGAGUCUUAAGAAAAACAGCUGGAUCCAGCCCCUGAUCCUGAGGGGGAUGAAAUCCAAUUUGCCUCCGGUGCUGACAGGUUUUCAGCCGGAUCUGCAGCCAGGUAAGAGGCUCCUGCAGCCACACCAUGCCAAG